Molecule: long non-coding RNA, 308 nt
Filed under: Hordeum vulgare
Lineage: Eukaryota; Viridiplantae; Streptophyta; Magnoliopsida; Poales; Poaceae
Description: long non-coding RNA (HVUL_LNC017764)
Source: RNAcentral
GCAUCUGUACUUGAAUCUGAAACAUGGUUAAUCCCUUCAGGGUAUAUAUGGCAAGUUAGGUGUUCGCUGCUGUCUGAGGUUAAUCCCUUAAUUGGUUGUUGUUUAGGGUUGAUUAGAUUAUCCUUCUCCAAGGAAAUCCGUUAUAUAUUUUUGACAGCUACGGAUAUGCCUUUCUAAUUGUAGAGUGACAGCUUUAACCAAAGUCUGUUUACUUCACUCAGCCUUCUAUUCAUUGAUUUUGUACAUGGUUCUUGAAAGUAGAACUUCCUAAGCAUUUGAGAGUGUUCCAGUUUGCUUAAUCAUUGCGC